GGUGGUGGCUCAAUGGUUAAGGUGUUGGGCUACUGAUCAGAGGGUCUGGGGUUCGAGCCUCAGCACCGCCA
Non-coding RNA from Pangasius djambal, 71 nucleotides. NCBI's taxonomy places the organism in Eukaryota, Metazoa, Chordata, Actinopteri, Siluriformes, Pangasiidae. The record is from the annotation of a GenBank genome assembly.